Small nucleolar RNA from Cynocephalus volans (Philippine flying lemur), 138 nucleotides. RefSeq annotates it as small nucleolar RNA SNORA71. Lineage: Eukaryota; Metazoa; Chordata; Mammalia; Dermoptera; Cynocephalidae. The record is from RefSeq and is a predicted model, not a curated record. The transcript has a single exon.
CCGUGGGUUAACAUGUUAGUGAUCAUGGGCUUCCCGUGCCCUGGUCAUUGAUAGUGCAGGGAGAGGAAUUGCUGAAAGCGUUUCCCCGUGUUUGGAGGGUCCACUCCUAUCCCUUCCAAACUCUGGAGCUUUCCCACA